GAGUUUGAUCCUGGCUCCAGAUUGAACGCUGGCGGCAUGCCUUACACAUGCAAGUCGAACGGCAGCACGGGAGCUUGCUCCUGGUGGGCGAGUGGCGAACGGGUGAGUAAUGCAUCGGAACGUAUCCUGGAGUGGGGGAUAACGUAGCGAAAGUUACGCUAAUACCGCAUAUUCUGUGAGCAGGAAAGCGGGGGACCUUCGGGCCUCGCGCUCUUGGAGCGGCCGAUGUCGGAUUAGCUAGUUGGUGAGGUAAAGGCUCACCAAGGCGACGAUCCGUAGCAGGUCUGAGAGGAUGAUCUGCCACACUGGAACUGAGACACGGUCCAGACUCCCUACGGGAGGCAGCAGUGGGGAAUUUUGGACAAUGGGGGCAACCCUGAUCCAGCCAUGCCGCGUGAGUGAAGAAGGCCUCGGUU
This 416-nucleotide ribosomal RNA is filed under the name bacterium enrichment culture clone ALO1_GLFRUDD03FPBEO. Its description in RNAcentral is "bacterial SSU rRNA". It matches the Rfam family "Bacterial small subunit ribosomal RNA", at positions 9 to 424 of the family's 1533-position model. The record is from RNAcentral.